ACCUCCCGGCAGCCUUGCCAGGCCCAGAACUCUCUCCAGUCAGCCUCUACAGACCAAGCUCAUGACUCACAAUGGCCUAUUUAGGCCCAUAGCCUACCUCACGGCAGUCUCCGCAGAUGAGCCUACUGCCUCACAACAGCCUCCACAGGCACAGCUCCAUCGUUCCAAUGGCCUCUUUAGACCCAGCUCCUGCCUCCCAGCCUUGUCUCCAGGCCCUGAACUUUCUCCGGUCUCCCUCUGUUGUCCAAGGCUGGAGGGUAGUAGUGCUAUCGCAGCUGACUGCAGCCUCAACCUUCCAGGCUGAAGCGAUCCUCCCAUCUCAACCUCCCACGUGGCUGAGACUACAGGUGCUUGCCACUACGCCCAACUAAUAUUUGGUUUUUUCAUAUACGUGGAUUCCAGAGGGGUGACAGCGAAACGUGGGACCAUCCAGUUUCAGGAAAACAAGCUUAACACGCCCACUGAUUCUACAUUAUGCUCCUACCUCCCGGCAGCCUCGCCAGGCCCAGAACUCUCUCCAGUCAGCCUCUACAGACCAAGCUCAUGACUCACAAUGGCCUAUUUAGGCCCAUACCCUACCUCACGGCAGUCUCCGCAGAUGAGCCUACUGCCUCACAACAGCCUCCACAGGCACAGCUCCAUCGUUACAAUGGCCUCUUUAGACCCAGCUCCUGCCGCCCAGCCUUCUCUCUAGGCCCUGAAGUUUCUCCGUGGGACCAUCCAGUUUCAGGAAAACAAGCUUAACACGCCCACUGAUUCUACAUUAUGCUCCUACCUCCCGGCAGCCUCGCCAGGCCCAGAACUCUCUCCAGUCAGCCUCUACAGACCAAGCUCAUGACUCACAAUGGCCUAUUUAGGCCCAUACCCUACCUCACGGCAGUCUCCGCAGAUGAGCCUACUGCCUCACAACAGCCUCCACAGGCACAGCUCCAUCGUUCCAAUGGCCUCUUUAGACCCAGCUCCUGCCGCCCAGCCUUCUCUCUAGGCCCUGAAGUUUCUCCGUGGGACCAUCCAGUUUCAGGAAAACAAGCUUAACACGCCCACUGAUUCUACAUUAUGCUCCUACCUCCCGGCAGCCUCGCCAGGCCCAGAACUCUCUCCAGUCAGCCUCUACAGACCAAGCUCAUGACUCACAAUGGCCUAUUUAGGCCCAUACCCUACCUCACGGCAGUCUCCGCAGAUGAGCCUACUGCCUCACAACAGCCUCCACAGGCACAGCUCCAUCGUUCCAAUGGCCUCUUUAGACCCAGCUCCUGCCGCCCAGCCUUCUCUCUAGGCCCUGAAGUUUCUCCGUAAGUUGAGGUAGCUGGGACUGUAGGUAUACAUGACGAUACUUGGCUAAUUUUU
Molecule: RNA transcript, 1347 nt
Organism: Gorilla gorilla gorilla (western lowland gorilla)
Lineage: Eukaryota; Metazoa; Chordata; Mammalia; Primates; Hominidae
Exons: 8
Source: RefSeq, a predicted model, not a curated record